Molecule: unclassified non-coding RNA, 250 nt
Filed under: plant metagenome
Description: partial contains small subunit ribosomal RNA, internal transcribed spacer 1, and 5.8S ribosomal RNA
Source: RNAcentral
GUAGGUGAACCUGCGGAAGGAUCAUUAACACAAUACUUUCAAUAUCAACCUCUGAGCACUGACAGACGCUAAGAAUGCGGCCGUUAGGAAGGCAAUGGUUCGAGUUAUUCAGUAAAACGUUUCACUCGGCUCUCCUAGCUGCUCUCCCUUCCCUCCUACUUUUCUGUUCUACGGCAUUGAGGAAAGCAACGCGGGUUUACCUCGCUUGUGGAAGAGGCGAUAGCUGACUCCUUAGAUGAUCACAGCCUGC